GAUGAAGAACGUAGUGAAAUGCGAUACGUAAUGUGAAUUGCAGAAUUCAGUGAAUCAUCGAAUCUUUGAACGCAUAUUGCGCUCUCUGGUAUUCCGGAGAGCAUGCUUGUUUGAGUAUCAGUAAACACCUCAACUUCCAUAUCUUUUUUGAAAUGGGAGUUGGACUUGAGUGAUCCCAACGCUUUUCCUCACCGAAAAGUGGCGGGUUACUUGAAAUGCAGGUGCAGCUGGACUUUUCUCUGAGCUAUAAGCAUAUCUAUUUAGUCUGCCUAAAAAACCGAUUAUUACCUUUGCUGCAGCUAACAUAAAGGAGAUUAGUUCUUGUGCUGACUGAUGCAGGAUUCACAAAGACAGGCUUCGGCCGACUUUGUAAACUCGAUCUCAAAUCAAGUAAGACUACCCGCUGAACUUAAGCAUAUCAAUAAGCGGAGGA
Molecule: unclassified non-coding RNA, 433 nt
Filed under: soil metagenome
Description: partial contains 5.8S ribosomal RNA, internal transcribed spacer 2, and large subunit ribosomal RNA
Rfam family: 5.8S ribosomal RNA (bases 1-120)
Source: RNAcentral